This 27-nucleotide non-coding RNA is filed under the name Mus musculus (house mouse). The record is from RNAcentral. Lineage: Eukaryota; Metazoa; Chordata; Mammalia; Rodentia; Muridae.
UGGAAGUAACAGAGUGAUAUCAGGUCC